GCUGACAUGUCCCGGCCAAUCUCCAGCAGACCCUCCCUCCCAGACCCUCCUACUUCCUGGACAGCAUCCAUGUUUCAACAUGGAUGCUGUCCAGGAAGUAGGAGGGUCUGGGAGGGAGGGUCUGCUGGAGAUUGGCCGGGACGUGUCAG
Molecule: non-coding RNA, 149 nt
Organism: Pelobates cultripes (western spadefoot toad)
Lineage: Eukaryota; Metazoa; Chordata; Amphibia; Anura; Pelobatidae
Source: the annotation of a GenBank genome assembly